This 484-nucleotide ribosomal RNA is filed under the name uncultured bacterium. RNAcentral's name for it is "partial 16S ribosomal RNA". It matches the Rfam family "Bacterial small subunit ribosomal RNA", at positions 29 to 507 of the family's 1533-position model. The record is from RNAcentral.
AUUGAACGCUGGCGGCAUGCUUUACACAUGCAAGUCGAACGGCAGCGCGGGCUUCGGCCUGGCGGCGAGUGGCGAACGGGUGAGUAAUACAUCGGAACGUGCCCAGUAGUGGGGGAUAGCUCGGCGAAAGCCGGAUUAAUACCGCAUACGACCUGAGGGUGAAAGCGGGGGAUCUUCGGACCUCGCGCUAUUGGAGCGGCCGAUGGCCGAUUAGCUAGUUGGUGGGGUAAAGGCCUACCAAGGCGACGAUCUGUAGCUGGUCUGAGAGGACGACCAGCCACACUGGGACUGAGACACGGCCCAGACGCCUACGGGAGGCAGCAGUGGGGAAUUUUGGACAAUGGGCGAAAGCCUGAUCCAGCAAUGCCGCGUGUGUGAUGAAGGCCUUCGGGUUGUAAAGCACUUUUGGCGGGAACGAAAAGGACUGUGCCAAUACCACGGUUCGAUGACGGUACCCGCAGAAUAAGCACCGGCUAACUACGUG